RNAcentral lists this ribosomal RNA (188 nucleotides) under uncultured bacterium. Its description in RNAcentral is "partial 16S ribosomal RNA". It matches the Rfam family "Bacterial small subunit ribosomal RNA", at positions 327 to 507 of the family's 1533-position model. The record is from RNAcentral.
CUCUAGAGAUUCCUACGGGAGGCAGCAGUGGGGAAUAUUGCACAAUGGGCGCAAGCCUGAUGCAGCCAUGCCGCGUGUGUGAAGAAGGCCUUCGGGUUGUAAAGCACUUUCAGCGAGGAGGAAGGUGGUGAGCUUAAUACGUUCAUCAAUUGACGUUACUCGCAGAAGAAGCACCGGCUAACUCCGUG